Molecule: long non-coding RNA, 519 nt
Filed under: Oryza sativa Indica Group (long-grained rice)
Lineage: Eukaryota; Viridiplantae; Streptophyta; Magnoliopsida; Poales; Poaceae
Description: lncRNA OsMH63_05G021510
Source: RNAcentral
AAGCUCGUGACGGCGGUCGCCCGUCAAGCGGCGGCCACAUCUCGCGCCGCCCGCUUAGCUGCGGUGGCGCGCCAUGACGCGGCGGCCGCAUCUCGCUCCGCCGGCUUAGCUGCGGCGGCCGCAUCUCGCGCCGCCCGCUUGAAGCCUCGUCCCCCACUGGACGACGCUGCCCGCCUCUCCUUCCGCUACAGCAGUGAACCUCCAGAUGAUGGAAAGUGCGUGACAAAAGAGGACCUUGAGUCGGACGAAGCCGUGUGGGCCUUAUUUGAGCGCUAUUGCAAGUCAUACAACAGGAAGUAUGAUCAUGCUCAGAUGGUUCGCCGCUUCCGUAUAUUCAAGUUCAAUGCAAAGAGAACAUAUUGCUGGAACCAGUAUCUUCAUACAGACGUAAAGGAAUUAGCUCGCGCCAAAAAGGAUAGGGAUUUAGGACUACCUGUCGACUCUUGGUACCUACAAAAAGAGUUAGGCGAAUACGACGAUGGGGGGGAGCCACUUACUGAAAAUUGGCGGAAAUUUUGA